RNAcentral lists this ribosomal RNA (303 nucleotides) under uncultured bacterium. Its description in RNAcentral is "partial 16S ribosomal RNA". It matches the Rfam family "Bacterial small subunit ribosomal RNA", at positions 507 to 807 of the family's 1533-position model. The record is from RNAcentral.
AGCAGUAGCCGCGGGAAUACGGAGGGUGCAAGCGUUAAUCGGAAUUACUGGGCGUAAAGCGCACGCAGGCGGUCUGACAAGUCAGAUGUGAAAUCCCCGGGCUUAACCUGGGAACUGCAUUUGAAACUGUCAGGCUGGAGUCUUGUAGAGGGGGGUAGAAUUCCAGGUGUAGCGGUGAAAUGCGUAGAGAUCUGGAGGAAUACCGGUGGCGAAGGCGGCCCCCUGGACAAAGACUGACGCUCAGGUGCGAAAGCGUGGGGAGCAAACAGGAUUAGAUACCCCAGUAGUCCCUGUCUCUUAUAC